This 832-nucleotide long non-coding RNA is filed under the name Gopherus agassizii (Agassiz's desert tortoise). RNAcentral's name for it is "lncRNA (ENSGAGG00000002079.1)". Lineage: Eukaryota; Metazoa; Chordata; Testudines; Testudinidae. The record is from RNAcentral.
GGUUCGAGCUCNUUUGUUGUUUCUAGGUCUUCACUACUAGUUGUAGGAGUCUCAGCAAGGGGCCUACAGAUCCAGGGUUCGAGCUCUGACAACACCUUAGCUUGCGUAUGGAGUGUUGUGAUUUGCAUGGGGUAAAAUUCUCUCUUUAUAAAAUUGUGCUUAAAAAAACAUGAUAAUCUGUGAAUCAUGGUGUGAGUCACCAAGAUAGAGGCAUUUCGCAAUUCAGUCACUUGUCCGCCAUUUUGCUGGCUGGUGUGACACCUUGGCAGGUUUGCAGUUUGAGAGCUGCGUUUCAUAGGGGCGGUGAUGGCAGCCCCAUACGAAAGGGGAAACCUAUAGCUGGCAGACCAGGAACGCAAGGAGGCCGCUCCAGGCUGCUGAAGCUAUUUCUGGUUGUAUCCAUUUCCCAGAAGUCCACGAGAGGCUGGGGCGUCUUUCAAGAAGUGACAAAAUAGAUUCCUUCAGCUUCACAGACAUUCUCAUCUACUGACAGAUUAUGUCGUUGCUACGAAAUAUUGUAGGUUUCCUCUGGUUUGUGUCAGUCAGUACACUUUAAAGGAGAGUAACUUGUUACAAACAGAAUCAUUUCACCCCUCUUUUUGGCUUUGUGAUUUGGAGAGAAGGGGAGGCUCAACAUCAGACAGCUGGAGAUUUGCCUCUGCGACUUCACAGAACUCAGAAGAAUCAUUGUGCAUCGGAGCUGACGGGCCCAUCAGGUUUAACCGCUGGCCCAGGAGGAGAGUUGUUUGUGGAUGUACAGGAGCAGAGGACUCCCCGCUGGACCAAAGAAACAAUAGUUUUUGCACUACAAUAUUCAGGUUAAAACCAACUG